Molecule: ribosomal RNA, 511 nt
Filed under: uncultured delta proteobacterium
Lineage: Bacteria; Deltaproteobacteria
Description: bacterial SSU rRNA
Rfam family: Bacterial small subunit ribosomal RNA
Source: RNAcentral
CUAUGCGCCUUGCCACGCCCGCUCAGAAACUUAAAUGAAGUUGACGGGGCCCGCACAAGCGGUGGAGCAUGUGGUUCAAUUCGACGCAACGCGAAGAACCUUACCUGGGCUAGACAACAGUGGACCGUCCUAGAGAUAGGAUUUUCCCUUCGGGGACCGCUGGUUCAGGUGCUGCAUGGCUGUCGUCAGCUCGUGCCGUGAGGUGUUGGGUUAAGUCCCGCAACGAGCGCAACCCUCGUACUUAGUUGCCACCAUUCAGUUGGGCACUCUAGGUAGACUGCCGGCGUUAAGCCGGAGGAAGGUGGGGACGACGUCAAGUCAUCAUGGCCCUUAUGCCCAGGGCCACACACGUGCUACAAUGGGCGGCACAAAGGGUCGCGAACCCGCGAGGGGGAGCCAAUCCCAAAAAGCCGUUCUCAGUUCGGAUUGGAGUCUGCAACUCGACUCCAUGAAGUUGGAAUCGCUAGUAAUCGCGGAUCAGCACGCCGCGGUGAAUACGUUCCCGGGCCUU